This 212-nucleotide ribosomal RNA is filed under the name uncultured Actinomycetales bacterium. RNAcentral's name for it is "partial 16S ribosomal RNA". It matches the Rfam family "Bacterial small subunit ribosomal RNA", at positions 119 to 334 of the family's 1533-position model. The record is from RNAcentral. Lineage: Bacteria; Bacillati; Actinomycetota; Actinomycetes; Actinomycetales.
GGGUGAUCUGCCCUGCACUCUGGGAUAAGCCUGGGAAACUGGGUCUAAUACCGGAUAGGACCAUGCUUUAGUGUGUGUGGUGGAAAGUUUUUUCGGUGUAGGAUGAGCCCGCGGCCUAUCAGCUUGUUGGUGGGGUAAUGGCCUACCAAGGCGGCGACGGGUAGCCGGACUGAGAGGUUGGUCGGCCACAUUGGGACUGAGAUACGGCCCAG